AGAGUUUGAUCCUGGCUCAGGGCUAACGCUGGCGGCGUGUCUUAGCCAUGCAAGUCGAGCGGUCCUAUGGGGCGACCUAUAGGAUAGCGGCGGACGGCGGAGUAACACGUAGCUAACCUACCCUCCGGACGGGGAUAACCAUUCGAAAGGGUGGCUAAUACCCGAUGGAGUCAUCCGCAAGGGUGAUGAAAGGUGGGCCUCUGUUUACAAGCUCAUGCCGGGGGAGGGGGCUGCGGCCUAUCAGGUAGUUGGUGGGGUAAAGGCCCACCAAGCCUAUGACGGGUAGCCGGCCUGAGAGGGUGACCGGCCCGAGGGACACUGAGACACGGGUCCCACUCCUACGGGAGGCAGCAGGCUAGAAAUUUGGGCAAUGGGGGAAACCCUGACCCAGUGACGCCGCGUGCAGGAAGGAGCCCUUCGGGGUGUAAACUGCUGUCGUGCGGGGCGAAGGGUUUAUAGGCGAAUAGUCUAUAGACUUGACGGUACCGCAGGAGGAAGCCCAGGCUAACCUCGUGCCAGCAGCCGCGGUAAUACGGGGUGGGCGAGCGUUGCCCGGAAUUACUGGGUUUAAAGGGGGUGUAGGCGGUCUGGAUAGUCAGGUGUGUAAUCCAAUCGCUCAACGAUUGGACUGCAUCUGAUACUUUCAGGCUAGAGGGCGGUAGAGGAGAGCGGAACUCCCGGUGUAGCGGUGAAAUGCGUAGAUAUCGGGAGGAACGCCGGUGGCGAAGGCGGCUCUCUGGGCCGUUCCUGACGCUGAGGCCCGAAAGCUGGGGGAGCGAAAGGGAUUAGAUACCCCUGUAGUCCCAGCCGUAAACGAUGGGCACUAGGUGUUCCUCCGAAAGGGGGAGUGCCGACGGGAAACCAUUAAGUGCCCCACCUGGGGAGUACGCCCGCAAGGGUGAAACUCAAAUGAAUUGACGG
RNAcentral lists this ribosomal RNA (921 nucleotides) under uncultured bacterium. RNAcentral describes it as "bacterial SSU rRNA". It matches the Rfam family "Bacterial small subunit ribosomal RNA", at positions 8 to 916 of the family's 1533-position model. The record is from RNAcentral.